CCUUGCACAUUGCACGGGAACCAGCGCAAAGGACAUAUUUAAACGCGACGCACAGUAUUAUACUGACAUACUUGAUCUGAAACACUUGACAUCAACGGCUGCAGGAUGAAGAUCGUGAUUCUCCUUGUAUUCGCUGUUUUCUUUGUUGCUACUGAUGCUGCCUCGGUGGCCUGUGGUACAGGAUGUGCUUCCGCAGGCUCCGACGGUCACUCCUUCUGCAUCAACCUUUGCACCAACUGUACCGGCAACGUCAACUGCAACCACCAUCUGGAUGAGUGUGAAUGUCACCCUCGAGGUGAUGACUAAGCUACAUUUGCUGCUUGAAUGCUUCUGACAUCAGUUCACUGGCAAUUAUUGUUGACAUUAAACUGUUUCUUUAAA
This is a long non-coding RNA of Haliotis rubra (blacklip abalone), 381 nucleotides long. RefSeq lists it as uncharacterized. The transcript is spliced from 2 exons. The record is from RefSeq and is a predicted model, not a curated record. Lineage: Eukaryota; Metazoa; Mollusca; Gastropoda; Lepetellida; Haliotidae.